Molecule: transfer RNA, 76 nt
Filed under: Podargus ocellatus
Lineage: Eukaryota; Metazoa; Chordata; Aves; Caprimulgiformes; Podargidae
Description: tRNA-Trp
Rfam family: tRNA
About the family: Transfer RNA (tRNA) molecules are approximately 80 nucleotides in length. Their secondary structure includes four short double-helical elements and three loops (D, anti-codon, and T loops).
Source: RNAcentral
AGAAACUUAGGUUAACCUGUAACUAAACCAAAGGCCUUCAAAGCCUUAAAUGAGAGUUGGACCCUCUUAGUUUCUG